GUAAACAGGGGGCUCAUGAAGUCACUGAAGACCAAUGGGGAGCACGAAGCGAGGCCUGGGGCGGGGCUUGGUCCUGGCGACGGGCUUGGAUUGGCGCGCUGCGGAUCUCCCUGCUGCCUUACAAGGCGGUGCGAGGCGAGCUAUUUUUAGAGGGCUAUAUAAGGGAGAUUAGAAGACUAUUUUGCUCUUUAAUUGAUUCCUUGAAACAUUUCCUAGAUGAGGCCAUUAUUUGCAUUUUCCUGAUGGCUAAUCCAAAUGUAGAGCUUCUAAUGGUUGGGAUGAGACGCACACUAAGUUUGUGUCAGUCUAAAGUAAAAAGAAAGAGGAAUCACAAUACCUAGGCCCAUUUUUUUCAAAUGCUAAACCAUUUUUCCUUCCUAAUAACUGCCUAAAUAAAUAAAUAAAUAAAUAAACA
RNAcentral lists this long non-coding RNA (415 nucleotides) under Sus scrofa (pig). RNAcentral's name for it is "lncRNA (ENSSSCG00025019928.1)". Lineage: Eukaryota; Metazoa; Chordata; Mammalia; Artiodactyla; Suidae. The record is from RNAcentral.